This 1251-nucleotide ribosomal RNA is filed under the name Enterococcus hirae. RNAcentral's name for it is "bacterial SSU rRNA". It matches the Rfam family "Bacterial small subunit ribosomal RNA", at positions 148 to 1386 of the family's 1533-position model. The record is from RNAcentral. Lineage: Bacteria; Bacillati; Bacillota; Bacilli; Lactobacillales; Enterococcaceae.
ACUUGGAAACAGGUGCUAAUACCGUAUAACAAUCGAAACCGCAUGGUUUUGAUUUGAAAGGCGCUUUCGGGUGUCGCUGAUGGAUGGACCCGCGGUGCAUUAGCUAGUUGGUGAGGUAACGGCUCACCAAGGCGACGAUGCAUAGCCGACCUGAGAGGGUGAUCGGCCACAUUGGGAMUGAGACACGGCCCAAACUCCUACGGGAGGCAGCAGUAGGGAAUCUUCGGCAAUGGACGAAAGUCUGACCGAGCAACGCCGCGUGAGUGAAGAAGGUUUUCGGAUCGUAAAACUCUGUUGUUAGAGAAGAACAAGGAUGAGAGUAACUGUUCAUCCCUUGACGGUAUCUAACCAGAAAGCCACGGCUAACUACGUGCCAGCAGCCGCGGUAAUACGUAGGUGGCAAGCGUUGUCCGGAUUUAUUGGGCGUAAAGCGAGCGCAGGCGGUUUCUUAAGUCUGAUGUGAAAGCCCCCGGCUCAACCGGGGAGGGUCAUUGGAAACUGGGAGACUUGAGUGCAGAAGAGGAGAGUGGAAUUCCAUGUGUAGCGGUGAAAUGCGUAGAUAUAUGGAGGAACACCAGUGGCGAAGGCGGCUCUCUGGUCUGUAACUGACGCUGAGGCUCGAAAGCGUGGGGAGCAAACAGGAUUAGAUACCCUGGUAGUCCACGCCGUAAACGAUGAGUGCUAAGUGUUGGAGGGUUUCCGCCCUUCAGUGCUGCAGCUAACGCAUUAAGCACUCCGCCUGGGGAGUACGACCGCAAGGUUGAAACUCAAAGGAAUUGACGGGGGCCCGCACAAGCGGUGGAGCAUGUGGUUUAAUUCGAAGCAACGCGAAGAACCUUACCAGGUCUUGACAUCCUUUGACCACUCUAGAGAUAGAGCUUCCCCUUCGGGGGCAAAGUGACAGGUGGUGCAUGGUUGUCGUCAGCUCGUGUCGUGAGAUGUUGGGUUAAGUCCCGCAACGAGCGCAACCCUUAUUGUUAGUUGCCAUCAUUUAGUUGGGCACUCUAGCAAGACUGCCGGUGACAAACCGGAGGAAGGUGGGGAUGACGUCAAAUCAUCAUGCCCCUUAUGACCUGGGCUACACACGUGCUACAAUGGGAAGUACAACGAGUCGCAAAGUCGCGAGGCUAAGCUAAUCUCUUAAAGCUUCUCUCAGUUCGGAUUGUAGGCUGCAACUCGCCUACAUGAAGCCGGAAUCGCUAGUAAUCGCGGAUCAGCACGCCGCGGUGAAUACGUUCCCGGGCCUUGUAC